This 44-nucleotide non-coding RNA is filed under the name Trichobilharzia regenti. The record is from RNAcentral. Lineage: Eukaryota; Metazoa; Platyhelminthes; Trematoda; Strigeidida; Schistosomatidae.
AUCAGAUGACGAGUCCCAAAUAAGACGAAAUGCGCAUCCUGGAU